This 467-nucleotide ribosomal RNA is filed under the name uncultured bacterium. RNAcentral's name for it is "partial 16S ribosomal RNA". It matches the Rfam family "Bacterial small subunit ribosomal RNA", at positions 28 to 507 of the family's 1533-position model. The record is from RNAcentral.
GACGAACGCUGGCGGCGUGCUUAACACAUGCAAGUCGAACGGAAAGGCCCUGCUUUUGUGGGGUGCUCGAGUGGCGAACGGGUGAGUAACACGUGAGUAACCUGCCCUUGACUUUGGGAUAACUUCAGGAAACUGGGGCUAAUACCGGAUAGGAGCUCCUGCUGCAUGGUGGGGGUUGGAAAGUUUCGGCGGUUGGGGUUGGACUCGCGGCUUAUCCGCUUGUUGGUGGGUAGUGGCUUACCAAGGCUUUGACGGGUAGCCGGCCUGAGCGGGUGACCGGCCACAUUGGGACUGAGAUACGGCCCAGACGCCUACGGGAGGCAGCAGUGGGGAAUAUGGCACAAUGGGCGGAAGCCUGAUGCAGCAACGCCGCGUGCGGGAUGACGGCCUUCGAGGUGUAAACCGCUGUCGCCUGUGACGAAGCGUGAGUGACGGUAAUGGGUAAAGAAGCACCGGCUAACUACGUG